RNAcentral lists this ribosomal RNA (253 nucleotides) under uncultured bacterium. Its description in RNAcentral is "partial 16S ribosomal RNA". It matches the Rfam family "Bacterial small subunit ribosomal RNA", at positions 524 to 776 of the family's 1533-position model. The record is from RNAcentral.
UACGUAGGGUGCGAGCGUUAAUCGGAAUUACUGGGCGUAAAGCGUGCGCAGGCGGUGGCUCAAGCCAGGCGUGAAAUCCCCGGGCUUAACCUGGGAAUGGCGUUUAGGACUGGGUCGCUAGAGUGUGGCAGAGGGAGGUGGAAUUCCACGUGUAGCAGUGAAAUGCGUAGAGAUGUGGAGGAACACCGAUGGCGAAGGCAGCCUCCUGGGCCAGCACUGACGCUCAUGCACGAAAGCGUGGGGAGCAAACAGG